AGAAGACCAUACUCCUCAACCCAGUUUUCAAGGCUCUCUUCACUAGCAGUUGGAUUCCCACCUUCCAACUUUCUCUCAUAUGUUUCCAAUUUGUUCCUCAAGACCCAGCUUAGAGCCAGCUACACCUUGUAAGGGCCUCUGAAGCCUGGACUCUGGAGCAGGGACCCUGGGUAUGAACCCCUUCUGCCAGGUUCUAAGGGAAGUUCAGCUUUGGAGUCAUCUCCAAGGAAAAGAUCAAGGAGGAGAAAAGUAUCUAGAGAAUGCAUUGCCUAUGGUUGGAAGUGAAAUCCUGGAUUUCCUCAACAGCUUGGAGUCGGAGGGCUGUUGCUGUGGUUGUGAUUACAGCUGAAGUGCUGAAACCACUUAGUUUCUUGCCUAUGCUAUCAAACCUGAAUUCCAACUGGCCUCCUGGGCCCCUAUAUCUGAUAAUGGCACCACCACGCUCCCAGGUCCUCGGGGUCUAUAACGUUGAUGCUGACACAUAGUAGGUGCUCAAUAAAUAUUUCACGGCUGGAUGAACCUAAGCAGUUGCCAUGUCCUGUGACAUCUUUCUCUAUAAUUAUCUUCAAUCUGUCAUCCUUUCAUUCCCAUGGUUAUUACCUAUGGUGGAUUAAAGAUGGUCACAAGUUUUUUUCACAAUGCUCCCGUUGAGAUGUGGGGUGUAUGUCCCCAGCUCUUGAAUCUGAGUAGACUCUUUGAUUACUUGAACCAGUGGAAUGCAGUAGAAACGAUGUUCUGUCAGUCUGCGGGCCCAGGAUUUAAGAGGCUGGCAAUUUCCACUUCUUGCCUCUUGAAACUUUCACUCUUAAAGCCCCAGGCUGCCGAACAGGCCCUGGGACUGCAUGAAGAGGGAGAACAGCCCAACAGAGACCGGCCUUCUGCUAAGGGGCCAGAUAUAAGAGUGAAGCUAUCUUGGACCCUCCAGACCCUCCAAGCCUACCAGCUGAAUACCAUUAAGUGACUCCAGGUGGUGUUACGUGGAACAGAAGAAUCAUUCAGCUGAGUCCUGGAUCCAUCCUACACAACUGUAGCUGAGCCUGAAUUCCUCAUCUUCACGGUUGUAAGAUAUAAUGAAAUUGUUGUCAUUUUAAGCCAUUACAUUUUGGAGUGAUUUGUAAGUGCAGCAAUAAAUAACCAGAAUAUUACCCUACUUGGGACCUUAUAACUUCUUACCUGGAAAACUGAUCCUUUCAUUAGUCUCCUGUCCUUCCAACCACGCUCUACCCUACUCAGUUUGUUUUCAUGGAGAAACUGUGUGGGGCUCCUGCUUUAAAAAAAAAAGAGUCAUUGUCAACAGAAUACACACUAAUCUCUUUAGUCGGCCCCCACUGGCCUUCUAAGAUCUGUCUCUGAACUCACCUUUCCAAGCUCUCCUCUUCUUCCCUCACAUUUCUUAUGCUCCAACCAAAUUCAACUGUUGGCCUAACCCCUUGACACUCCAUGAUUUUGAUUUUGUCCCCACAGUUCCUCCUCCUGGAAUGUCCUUCCCCUCAUCCAUGUAUGUCCACAUCCUGCUUGCCUCCCAAAGACAGCCAAGAAUAUCAAUCUCUCUGGUGGAAAUAAUCUCUCUCCUGAAUUUCCACAGCAUCUUAUCUGGGCCUCUCAUCAAAC
This is a long non-coding RNA of Equus caballus (horse), 1611 nucleotides long. Lineage: Eukaryota; Metazoa; Chordata; Mammalia; Perissodactyla; Equidae. The record is from Ensembl.